Molecule: long non-coding RNA, 29115 nt
Organism: Cygnus olor (mute swan)
Lineage: Eukaryota; Metazoa; Chordata; Aves; Anseriformes; Anatidae
Exons: 15
Source: RefSeq, a predicted model, not a curated record
GAUGAAAUCUAUUUAUAGUUAACUCUAUUUUUAUUCAAAGAAAAACAAUAGCACUGAAUUUCAGGCAGUUUGACCAGACACUGAGGAAAGUCUGUUGGAGCUGAGGAAAAUCUCGAGCUGCCUGAUCUUGAAAGCUGAGCUAGUGAGCUCCUCCGGCAUCAGCAUUUCAGUGCUGUCCUCUCUAAGGUGAAACGCUGUGCUGGAAGGCUGCCUGAGUGGUUUUCCUGUUCUGUGGCCCUAUCGCUGCAGCCGCCAUGGAUCUGAAUGCUGUGGCUGCAAAGGCUUCUUACUUUCUCAUACUGGAUCCCUCAAAUCCAAGAGCUGCUUGGCAGUUUCCAAGGCAACCACCUGUGGAAUAAUUAAAAAGGGUGAAGCGUUAGUGUGCCAAAGAUACGGAAUUCUUGCCGGGAGAGAGCACUUCAUUUUCAUCUGUUAUGAAGAAUCAAAUGUGUCUCUGCCAGCAAAGUUAAGCUUCUGUGUUACUUUUUGAAGUAAUGAGGAGAAAGCAAAGCAGCGGAUCAGGCGUUUUCCAAGUCUGUGCUUCUGCAGAUCGGUUUCCUGAGGGGAGAGCCAUCUUUCAAGUGCCGCUUUCUUCAAGUGAAAAGGGAACAGUUCAUCUUCAUGCAGCGUGCUGCAAAGAAGAAAUGGUGACCGAGCUGUGCAAGUGAACCAGGACAAUCCAAAAAGCACCAAGUGUCGGUGAGUCCCACUUGCUUCUAAGCCAGCCUGGGAUGGAUAGACUGAAGGCGCUGCUCCUGACAUCUAGGCUCCGAGGGACGCAGGCUGUGAUGCCUGGUGGGUUGGAGCUCCGAAAGCACUGAUUCAGCAUCCUUGAGCUUGCAGUUUUGCAUACCGUAUUUAUAGCAAACGACACUGUGUGAUUUGGGCUUUGAGUUUUGCAUGCAGAUAGCAGGGGGAAAAAUACAUCUUCAUAGGAAAAGACAAAACAAGGAUUUUCUCUUCAAAGCUCCAAGUUGUUCCAGGCAUGGGAAGCGAUGAACGUGCACUCCUCUCUAGUUUUCAGCAUCUUUUCUGUGGGGCUGAGGUCUGUCUCUUCUGUAGAAGAAUGCCUCUUCCCUUCUUCCCUGCUGCCCCGGCUGCUGGGCUGCACGGCACACGCCCUUUCUCAGGAACUCAUCCUUAGCUAACUGGCCCGGAGGUCUGGGCUAACAGGCUGGAAAAUUACAGCCAGCUCCGUCAGCCUUCCAGGAGGAGAGCUGCUGGUCCUCGGAGGAGGGCGAUGGCUGCGUCAGGCCGUGCUGAUGGGCUGCUGGCUUUCUUCACUGGUGUCUGUGCCUGCAGCGUCUUCCAGCCCUUUCUGCACGGGGCAAUCCCAGCAGAAGCUGAGCUCGGACGAGGCAGGUUGUUCCCACACGUGCAACCAGCCCCCAUCAACAGGACGAGGGGGCGCAGAGGAUGCAGCAAGGAGAGGAAGAGGAGGCUCACAUCUCGCUGGGUGUAUCUGUCACAAGUCGGUCAUGGAGAUUUUCCUCCUGUCUUCCAGGUUUAGAUGUGUGUACGUGAGAAUUGAAGUAUUCCAGAUGGCUUUUAGAAUAAAGGUCUUAACGUUGCCUAUGUCCAUACGAAAAAUAAUUUGCCUUUAGAUUCCAAUUUAGGAUUAUUUUCCCGUUCUUGGUUUCCAGCUACUGAAUCUCAUGUAUCGUGUGCGUAUAGAAGAAAAGAGAACUGGUGAGAUGAUGUCACAAACGACAAAAAUCUGCAGAGAUUCCGCUCAGAAUUAACACUUAAAACUCUGGAAAACCUUGCUGCUGUAGUGCAUAUCAGAAUUUUUAAAAUACCGUUUGCAAAGGCUGUGAGGGUAAAGCCACGGAGCCUGGAUACGUGCAUUCUGGUUCUACUCCAUCUGUUUUGUAAGCUUGGAGAAGUUGCUUUGCAGUUUCCUGCUUCGGUUCUCCUGUCAGCAGCGUGCUUUACUUGCUCUUGAUAAAGCACUUCAGAAUAAAACCUUGAAUUGGUAUUGUUAUGGACUGCCAUAAACUUAAUUAAAAUCCUUUUCCCUCCUCACUCAUCCCCUCCCAAGAUGAGAACAAGCAGCCUGUUCUUUUCCAAGUGGUACGAUGGACUGAUGUGCUGCAGCUGCUUAAGGUUAGGCUUUACCUGAUCCCUUCUGCUCUCCAGACACCCAGUGAGCAGCUUCAGAUGGAGAAAACCCUUGGGUUUCCGGCAUCUCUGAUUCUUUUGGGGCACGGUCUGGCAUGCGACGUUUCCUUGGUCGUUUUACGUAGCAGGCUGGAGUUCCCAAACAUCCUGGCAUGGGUCCGUGCAGGCUGCUUUACCUUAACGCUGGCUGAUCUUGCCUUGAGUCAACCAGAGCUCAGUGUAUCAUGGCCAGAUGGCUUACCUACAGGCUGGCGGUGAGUGAAACAUCGUUUUCAGCGCCUCAGAGCACUCUUGUCAGGCUGUUAGAGCCCAUCAGCACCCUUCCUCAGGGCAGAGGAGCUAAUGGAGCCACACCGACCUGCCCUUACGCAGCUGCAAGUACGGAUCUCAGUGCGGAGAGAAGCUCUUGGGCUAAACCUGCUGCUGGCGAGCACGUGAGAAGUGAAUUCAAGCGGGCAUUAAGCUCUGGGGGUGCAGGAAAACCCAUGGAUUUUGCACGGCUAAGCGUUGUGGAAGCAGUUGAGCUCAACAGACUUAAAUCUCCACGCUUGGAAGAAACACCCAUGCUAAGGUGCAGCCUUACUCAGUGAUCUGCCACUCGUGUUCUCCACUAACACUACCGGUGUCCUGGCCAGAUCCCCCCGCAGGGAGCUGAAAAAGUGGAUUAUAUGAAAGUAAAACUCUUCAGGCUUUUUGUUCUGUGCUGAUGCCUCAGCCUUGCUGCAGCUGUGCUGUGCCAGCAUCUGCACUCCGUAUCUAGAAGCAGUGAGCGCACUCUGAAGGGUUGCUGCUGGGCGUUGCUGUGCUGCAAGGGUGUUAAAAGCCUUGCGGUGUGUACAGAGGUCAGGUGUAAGUUGCUUUAAUUAAAUGUAAAAGCUGCGUGCACGUUGCAGAAGAGGGCAGACAGGGAUUCCCUCCGCUGACUUGUCCUCUUGCUGUCCGGAUUUCUUUGCUGUUGUCUCCCCUCUCACAUACUUGGGCAGAGAAGUUUCAUCUUCUCCCUCCCAUGCUGUUACAAAUGGCAUCUGGCUUUGGAAACACAACAAAUCUGGGAUGUUUUCUGCUGUCGAGAAGCCAUUCUUGCUAUUUGGUGCCAGAGCCAUCCUCGUCCUUCCUGAAACACACACCUAGACAGCAUUUAUUUCAGUCAGGAAAGCAGAAUUCCCAUCCUGUGGGAGGCUUCUCCGAUCUGAUUUUUAUUUUUUGAAUUACAGAGCUUGGACUACCCACCCCAGGGCUGGCAGGCGGCCGGGCAGGAAGCUGGACAGACUGGCCUGCCGGCCAAUCUUGUUGCCUUUUAUAGAGCAUUUUGAUGAAAUCAGCACAUUUCCAUGCAAUCUGUGUUUUGCAACAUAAAGAUUGUUGUGUUGGGAAGGGUUUUGGGGCAGCUCUAGUUGUAGUCUGCAACUCGCGUCUUCUGGGAAGCUGCAGACCAGUUUUUAUUUGUUAUUACAGACAACCUCGUGAGAAGAGAGGUUGUGGUUCUGUGGAAGAAAACCCUCCUAGAAGGAUGUUCUCAAGCCAGCACGAAGGAUUUCCCUCUGCAUGUCAGUGCUUAGACGUCCCGAAAAUAGAGCAUGGCACUGUGAUGCACAUCUUUGGAGCAGGUUGUUUAGUGUCUUCAAGCCAUGCUGGUGAUAAACUGGACCUGACUCUUCAUCCUGCUCAAAGCAAGACUGCGAUUGGAGUCAGGUCAAGCUGCUCUCAGGGCCUUUACUACUUGAACAUCUCCAAGAACUGAGAGCUGAUGGCCUUUCUGCCCCCUUCUUCCAGUGUUUGCUCAUAUCUGUGUUGGAGAAUUUUCCUUGCACCUAAUCAGAAUUUGCCUUUCUGCAGCUCGUGGCUGUGGCCGCUUGCCGUUUGGCUGCGUGGGGCUGAGCAGCUGCAGUUCCUCAGGAACCCCCUGCAGGUGAGCAGGGCUGGAAGCGAGCAUUUUGUGCGAGGCUGUGAGUGGUAUCCAGGAACCCUCCUUCCAUCACUCUUCCACUCCAUCUCUUCCUCUCUCUGAGCGUGGAAGUGCUAAGGAGAAGCAGGACGUGGAUUAUCAAGAUACAGCCGUGUUACUGACUGACUGUUGACUUUGGACUUCUUUAGCAUCAUCCCAAACUCCUUAAAUCCACCAGUGUGAGUGAUCCAGGUAUCUUACACUUAAAACAACUCGGACUGAUUUUGAAUGUAUUUUCUUUUGCUUGCUUCUUUUCAGUAAAUGAAUCUUCCUCCUUGGAAGAUUCUUUGCAUUUUGAGGUUGUAAGCUGUCAGUGAGUCACCAAUUACCAGCUCAGUGUAAAUAAUUUCAAGUGAAAUCAUUACUUGUUAACUUACGUAGUUGGUGCGGUCAGAGGAAACAUGAGGGCAGCCUUGGCUCUCUGGAGAAGCUCAUGUUGUAGAGGAUUUUGAGUGUGUCCCGAGAAUGGACUGGUUGUUUACACAGAUGUUACAAAUCAUCCAUACCAUUUCAAAUGAGUCGGUCUCGCAUGGAAUUCCAUCCGUUAAGGAGUGAUAUAUUUGAACAUGGGAUGACUUUAUCUGCUUUUCUUGUUGCCUGUUGAAGCUCUGGUAUUUGCACAGUCACAGCCUGAAAGCUGUGUGUGUGUAAAUCCCACCAGAGGGGAACCUAGAAGAUAACCAAGAACACCAGUAAAAGGAAGGAAUAGGGGAACUUCACCUUCCUGUAGUCAGUCUGUACAGGUUUGGUGGUUCUUGUGUACACAGUGUAACUUCCCUGGAGCCCAUCCAGAUUCACAGUGGGUAAGUCACUCUGCAGAAAUCAAAGGAGGUAUAAUCUUGUAAAACUUUUAUAAAAGGAAGGUUUUUGCAUUUCUGUCCAGAAGCUGCCUAAGCAAACAUCUAAUAUUGACUUGAUCUCGUAGUCUGAUAGCCUGCCUUUGACUUGGAGUGCGAAACUUAACUCGAGCUAAAUGAACCAUACCUUUUUUUUUUUCUUUAAACAUUUAGCAUCUUCCUUAGAAAAGCAUGUAAGCCAGGUGCUCCUGUCUUAGCAAAAGCUAACAAUUUAAACUCCUCCCGUGCUUGCUGUUUUCUCCCAGCUUCUCCUCGAGUGGUCAAGGUGCAUAGGGAACUAGAGGGCUGCUAACAUGGCUGCUAAUGAAAUAAAAUGCAGUGAGAUUCAAGAGGUUGCAGCCUGCAGGAGUCAGCUCUGCAAACUGUUUUUUCCAUACCCAAGAAACAUGAGUCAGAUUUUGCAAAGUGAGUCAAAUCUAUCUUCAGAUUCAUUUGAAGGCGCUGCAUUGGAUGUAGAAUUUGAAACAGUAUUAUGCAUAGAAAGGGCUCAUUAAACUGAUUGAGUUUGCAGUAUUCCCUUUGAGUGGGAGGGGGGACGGAAUGGAUGAAAGUGACGGGGAAAUGUGGAAGGAGGUUCGGGUAUUCCUCAGUCCCCAGAAACGUGAGCAGUCCUCCUGCAGCCUGGAGGAAAUAGAAAGGUGAUCCUUUCUUCUGUGCUCCUGGGGGGACUUCCCAGGGCCUGAGAGAUGGUUAUUAAUUGAAGUUUGCUUAUCCUCGCUGCUGCUGCUGAUCUGUGGUUGGUCUCCAGCCUGAGAGCAGCACACGAGGGUGCGGGCGCUCCCUGGGCUUUCACAUUCUUCUGCCAGAAGCCUACUGGAGACGUCCUUGGAGAUCCAGACACAAACCCUGGCCCACAAGGAGGGCAGUAUCCGCCUAACACCUUCGUUUAAAUAAAUUAAUUUCCUUUUGUUUUGCACUUCUUGCCUUUAUCUUCACCUGGGUAGUGUUCCUGCCCAUAAAGCUGUCCUCUUGGGUCAAAUGUGCUCGAGCUGUAGCCCUUGGACAGGAUGUGACUCCUGCAUGUUUUGCUGGCUGUGUCAUGCACAAACACUCCCUUUCCUCUGGAGGAAUUAGAUGACAAUUAAACUUGGAGGCACAGUCACCUUCCAAGUCUCGGUUUCUUCUCCUCUGUUCCCAUGUUUCACCCUCCCUCUGAGAAAUCUCUCUUUUUUGAUCGUGGAUUUCGACCAGGAAACAAAUUUGAUGGCUCCAUUCUUAACCGUUGGUCUUUGACUGGCUACAAUCAACAUCCUAAUAUUGUGCUGAGAAGGGUGACUAAUACCUCCUGUCUGCCUUACGUCUUGAAUGAACUGGUAGACAGGCAUGAGCUGAUUUUUUCCUAUUCUCGCGUGUAACCAGCUUAAAAAGAAUUCUUUAGACUUAACUUUUCUUCCACAAUUUUUGGUGGGGACCCUGAGCAAGCGGGUGACGGAAUUCAAGUGCAGCAGUACAGAGAGCAUCUCUGCUGGCGCUCGGUGGUGGUACGAAGAUGAGCUGGCAGCACCAGACACACGGGUCCCUGAUACACAAGGACUCUGGCUGCUUUUAAUUCUGCUCAUAACUUCAACACCCCUGAGUUGUCCUCACUCUGAACGAGGGACGUUGUGCUUGUAGCCACGUCCUGGUUCUAGAUUGUUCAGGUCCUCGUUACCUUUUGUAGAAGUUCCUGCUUUAUAAGAAGGUGUAGGGGACUGGGAUUCAGGAGCCCUGCAGCAGUCUUUGUGCUUAUUUCCACACCUCCACAUCUCCUCCAGUUUACUUUCUGCCAAAGCGUUGUGAGUUUUGGUGCAGCACCUCUCAAGCACCAUAAAUAAAAACCCAAAAUGAAACAAAACAGUUUUAAUAAGCCACAGCUACUAGUAUAUUUAAGCAGAAGGAGGUGGUUGGUUACCUUGCCCAGCACUGCUCUUUGUUGCGCCUCCUGCCAGGAGCCUCGGAGAUGCCCUGAACCACAGCUCGGUGCAUCUCCAGCCACCGUUCCUGGCUGCACGGGCAUUGGUCAUGGUCAGGGACACAGCAUCUUGCCUGCAGCCUCUCUCCUUCACAACUGCUGCUCUCAUUUUACUCCUCGAGGUUUUACUCGUACCCUUUUGGUUCCUUUUCCUCGCUACAUGGGUACGUGACUCCGUUACCACUCUGCAGCUCCAAGUCCUCCAGUGACUUCUGAGUUAAUUACCAAGAGGCUGAGAACAGCAGGUUUGGGAUUUUUCAUGCAAAGAUCCCUUUCGGAGAGGUUCUGCAUGCUGCUUGGAGAAAGUAGUUGUUGCCUAAGGGAAUUCAGAAGUCUGCUUCACUGUCGGGCUGACCUGCAGAGCUGCUUCUCCCUCUGAUGUUUAUGUAAAAUUUUAUUUCUAAGGAAUUUAACAAGAUUCACCGUUGGCAGUUAUCUCUUUCUGAUAGCUGCUCAAGAACAGAAUUUAAAUUAAGCCUGUAAUUUCGGGCACCUUUAGCUGAGUAAAAUAAACCCAGUUCUGCUAGCAGCUACCUCCCCAGUAAUGUAGUCACUGUUGGAUGGGAGCAGUCUCCCUGAAAGUCCUUUGUAUGUAGGAAUGCUGUACGCCAUCCCCUGCACAUGGUUGAGGAUGCCUGAGUCACUCCGGUGAAGACAGAUUUCUAAAUCAGCGUCCACUUUUGCUCAGGAUUUCUAAAACAGAACCACUUCCUGGACAGUGCGAUAAACAGUUACAUUGUUUUUUGUAAUUAUUUUUGUCUUGGUUUUGAAUCUUUCUUGGGGUUGCUGCCACACAUGCCGGAGGCAGAUCUGGCAGUUUCAAAGUACUGGAAAAUCCCUGAGGAUCUGGUAAUUAAAGUACAGAAACCCCACGUUGUGACCCACCGGCCAUAUUUUCGGCUACAUCCAGUAUCUCAGCUAUGCACGUGACGCGUGUCCCGCGUUCUGGUCAGACUGUGCCUUACCGCUGAGCUAACACACAACUCAGUGAUAAUUAUUUUAACAUUUUAUUACUUCCUAGAUGCCAGCACAAUAGCUGGAUCUGUCGUUCUCCAACACAAAGUUACAUUCCACUGAAACACUUGACCGUGUCACCAGGACCCUGUAAGAGAUUCACCCCGUCGAUUCAUAGCUUGCUGCUGCGCAGUGCAAAAUCCAGACGGUGCUGCUGACUCUGGCCUAGUAAAAUGAAUUGUCGUUACGGUUUCCCUCUCUGCACGUGUAAUGUAUGGGUUUUUAGCAAGCCUUUGUCAAAAGGGAAUAGAGUCCUUCAGUAUUUAAAAGAGGUCAUCUUAUUAAAAGCGAGCUUGUACCGCAGAGCCAUUUUUUUUCUUCUCUUUUCCAUUUUUAGGUCAGAUGAUUCAGGUUUUCCUCCGUGCUUUUAACCUUUUGCCAUCUGAGCGAGUUGUUCGAGGGACAGCGAUGCUUCGAGGCCAUUACUGAAAAAACACUGCCUUUGAUAGGGUGGUUCUGUUUCACUGUCUUUUUCUCCUGUAGUGUUUGCUCUUAAUUUCUUAUUCCUCUGUUGUUUUCCAUUUUUCCUUAGCACUGAGCUAGCAUCAUCCUAAUGAAUGCUCCUCUUGUGUUUUUUAACCUCUCACACUUCCCUUUUUAGCAUGAAAGUCCAUACAGGAGAUGGGGGAGGAAAAAAAAAGGUCUACAGCUCAACUAAUCUACCAGCUUUUCAUGGAAAUGUAUACAGAAUUGCUAGUAACAGAGAAAAAAAACAGCAUUUUAACACUUCUCAUUCUCCUUUGAACAGAAAUUUCCAUAGCUUGCUGGAUGUUACCUCCUUGCAUUUUGUCCUUCAGAUAACAAAAUGAGCGUAUGCUUUCAUAAACUUCCUCUGUGAAAGGCAGGAGAGAGUUCCUGAUGCACUCGGAGCUUGUCCUGCCUUCUACAUACUUAAAAUAGAUUUAAAAAUAUCGGCAGGAGCGUGUAAGUCUGCAAGCGUACAUAGAUCAAGAAUAGGUAGCUGGAUUGCUGGAGACAGUGAUUAGAGAAGGGGUGGCAGAGCUGUGUUGAAAAAUAUCCUGCAGAUGGAUCGUGUCGUUCUCGUCCAGUGCAGGAAUUGUGCACUGAGCAGACCUUUGCUGAAACAAUGGCUGCGUUUGAAAAGCAGAGGCUAAAUUCUGCUGUUAAAGUGGCUUUAUGUCUUUAAAGGGACCUGAUAUUUUAUUUUGUUUAGCAUGGGGUAAAUCUCUCAAAGGCAGUGGAGUUACACGAGGCUUACAUCGGAGUAACUGAAAGCUGAUUUUGGCCCUUUAUGUUCUGUGCUUCGUAGUCAUGUGGUGCUAUUUCCAUAAAUCAUGCACUUGAAAGGUUUUCUUGCUUCCUGCUUUUACCAAUCAGAUCAUAUAAAAUGCAGAUGAACCGAGCUUCUGGUUUAUAAGCCUAAGCAGAACACCCCCUCUAAAUCCCCUUUUAUCACGCCGGUCCUGGUUCCCCCAUCUGAAAACAAGAUAGCAAGAAUGACAAACUUUGACUAAUACAAUGGAGUUUUUUGGUCUCCUCCCUUUCUUAUUUUGACCUGUACUUUGCUUUCGUUAUAAAGUGAACGUAGAAAUUACCCUGUGGGAGUGGUGAAACUGCAGCAGAGAAACAAAAACUAUUUGGAUUCUUCCGAAAGCUAUUCAUUCGCUUGCUCUUCUUUUUAUUAACGGCUCGAAGCAUGCAGUUUGUCUUGUUCUGACUACGUAUCCCUCAGCAGGAACGGAGAUUCAGAAGGCGUCUGUGAGCGGCCGGGCAGGACUAGCACAGGAGAGGUGCUUCUGGUACCUGCUGCCUCUCGCCUGGGGCUUGUGCCAGCAAGGAGCCGAGGUGCCGACUUCACAUCACACCUGGGCUCGAUUUCGGAUGCUUCUCCUGGCAAUGCAGGGGAGCUGCAGGAAUUGAAUUGCUGGGUCAAAAGCUCUGCUCGCACCUGCUGACAGUGGGAUUGCGCAGAAACUGUUAAGAGUACUGACCACUGCAACCCUAGCUAGGAGCUCGUUUGCUGUUACGCUUGAUACUAAGGCUUAGAACAACAAUCGUAAGAGCAGCGUGCACCCGCGAUGGAAAUACAGAUAGUCAUCACAUUUCUGAGAGGGCAGGUGCAGGAAGCUACUACAGGGAAGGAGGCUUACUAGUUUUCUCAAGGCUUGGGAUUAUGCAGUGGAGCAGCGUAUUUUAGACGCUACGGAGAAAGUUCACAACAGCAUGGUCAAAAGGGACACACUCAAGGGAAAGUGAAGGGAAACGCUCACUUGGUCUGAGAAAAAAAGCAAGCAGUUAAUGCUGGUAGCUCUGCUGACUAUACAAUCCUGAGGUAGCGUCCAUAGGAAAAUGGCCACACAGCUUAAACAAGAAGGAAAGGAAGUGGAAAACACGCGCUAGCAUCCAGAAACGGAUUCCUGAGUCAUGGAAGAUGGCUGAGAUGGGCGUUGUCAAUAGGAGCUGCAUAAAAGCUCCCAUUUUUGCAGACGCCUUCUGGGCUGGUAGACGUUGACGACGAUGUUGUAAGGCUGCGUGACACUAAGGAAGUCGGUGCGUGACACUCCGGAUGCCACGUGGUUGCCCUGUUUACAGUCAGCCCAGCUCAGUGGCCACCUUCUCUAAAAUGGGCUUGUUUGAGCAAAUCGUUCACCCCUGUUACAGCGAGGAGGAUCGGCGGGGCCGUGAAACCCGUCCACGAUGGCUGUAGGCAGUGCUCAGGAUACACAUUAUCUUCAUCUUACCUGGAAACCUAACAGGAAUUUUAUGGCCCUUGAAAGCGGGAUGAGUGCUGUUUGUCUCGUGGUUUUACAGCCUGGUGUAAACAGAGCGCUGCUCCAGCCUGGAAAUGCAGGAGGCUGCUGGAACAGUCGAUGUUGCUGAGAGGCAGGUCGUGCCUUCGAGGGGUGCUGCUCCCACCUUCACACCGGUGCUGAUCUCCUGAGCAUGCUUUCCAUAUGCCAAAGGAAGAACACGAUGUUGGAGGGAAAGCCUAUUUAUAAAUGUGUACCGACUGAAAGGUAAAUAACUCCCGUUUCCAGUAAAUUAAUGGAAUAUGCUCUCUGCACUGGAUGUGUUCCCUGCUGAGAAGUAGCUGGGGUAAAUAUAUCUGGCAUGUAUUGUGUUUGUUGCUCUGCAGCACGGUACGUAGGAAGCAGGUAUUUUUAAAAAUCGUGUUCUCAUUCUUUGCUUCUUAAAUACAACAGAAGAAGGGUUCAAAGGUGGUUUGUUUUGCUCUGAAAAUAUUUCUGGAUUGGCAUUCGUGUUUUUGCAGUGUCAUCCCUGAUGGGAGGGGUCAAGAAUACUUAAAUCUUCUGCUAAAAGAUUCUCUGCAGCCUGUUUAUCAGGCAUGGGAAUUCAUCUGGGAUUAAAAACAAUCACACUUGGAUCUGAUUAAAUUUCCUAUCCCUUUCAUUUUCUGUCUUCUCUUCUGUGUGGUAAUUCUAUUUUACUUGCUCUUCAGUAAUCAGAGAGUCUUUCAAAGUAAUCAUAAUUGGAGUUUGUACUGUACCAGAAAAAAUACAGAGAAUUAAACAUUUUUGUGCAUGUUUAUUGUUACUUUUAAAUGAUACCUAAGGGCAAUUCUUUUCAGGUCACUUUUCAUCCUCAGACAAAUUAGCGUGAUGAUUUACGUACCAGUGUGAACGAAGCACUGAAGAUAAGCAGAGGGGCAAAAAAAUUACAAAUGCCUGGUUUGAAGAGCUGACUUUGUAGAGACGUGAGUGGAUGCAAUACAACGCACGGCGCAGGAACACAAACAGUAGGUGUAGUUUCUGAGGGCUUCAUGACGGGGGCAUUUCUGUUCAGCGCUGGGAUUAGCACUUCUGUUGAAACUUACAUAACAGAGCCUUUGCCGGGGUGGUUUCUAAAAAUUAGGUUCGUUGCUCUUCGGAUUCCAGAGGCUUUAAGUCAGAGGAAAUACUUUAAACUGAAGAACUGGUUUGUUUUUUUUUCCAUUGAUCAUUGGUUUCCUCCCAGUUCCCAAUUAGAUCCUACUGCAUGUGUAAGACAGCAGUGGAAGUGAAAAAAAAAAAAAGGGUUUUAUAGUGAAAAGACUUGGGCAAGAAGCACUGAGUUUUGUUGUGAGUAGUUCCUUCAUUAAUGUACCUUUGUUCUAAGCAUACCUUAGAAAAAACAGGGAAUUAGGUUGAUCAUGGUACAGUUGUACGUUUCUAAAGUUAGAACAUUCUAAAGUAUAACAUCUGCCACUUUUGUCCAGCAAGUGAUGAUGCCCUCCAGAAAAAAACUACACUCCUCUCUCUGUUGCCCUGAAGAUUGCUGUUUGACAGAAGAGCAGUCAGCUGCUAUGGUGAUGGGCACGGGAUGGGAACAUGGACAGAAAUAGUGGUGAGGCUGAGGCUGGGCUGUUCAUCCUUCCUUACUGUUUCAGCAGCUCUUGCUGAAUUUUGUAUGAUUGAAUUCAAGGCAUUAGCAGGCUAUCUUACUUUUUUUUUGGCCUCAAAUUCUAGCAAGUACUUCAAAAUAAUAGGGAAAAAGAAGAGUGAGACACUCAAGCUGAUAAUAUUUGUAUAAACCUGCAUCUCAUUCCCUGCAGUGCAGCUUGUGCCUGUUGUGCUUGAAUUUAGGCACACAGAAAUCUUCUUCCACCUAUAAGAAUUAGUGUUUUUUUUCAGUAAUUUUCAGUAAUGAAUAAUUCAUAUACUAAAGUCUUUGUCACAAGAACAUCUCACUGUUUCUCCCCCAGCUUGAUAAGCUUUUGUAUUCUUAGGAUUUCCGUUUCCCUAAUCAGCCCAAAAUAAACCUGAAGAGGUUUCAAAAAACAGAAUUCAGAGUAAGUCUGAGAUGACUGCACGUCGAGGAUAUUGCUUUGCACAGUAGGUGAUCCUCUGGCAUUUUCUAUUUACAGCUCCUUCUUUUGCAAAGAAUUAUUUAUCUGCAGUACGAGGCCACACCACUGCCAUGCAUUCAGUGCCUCAAAGUAGACCAAAUUGGAUAUAUCUUAUUUAGCUUCUAUUUUUCAAUAACUUCUGAAUCUGUAAUCCAGAAUGACUCCUUUGACAGGAAACUUAGUAUCUGUAUUUUAGUGUUAAGGUUAGUGGUAAACUUUGGUUGUCUGUUUCAUCGAUUUGACUGUAAAAGCUCUCACUUAAGUUCAGACUGAGAAGCAGUAACUUGGCUAAAAGCCUGUCUAAGAGUCUGGAGGAAGAGAAGAAUGAUUUUGAGGUUGUCUUUUAAUUCACCUAUUUGAAGAGCAACACAAAGAGGGGACUGAUUCAAACAGCUGCUGAUACUUUAUUUUUUCUUCCAGAUUCUGAGGACAACCCUUUCUGUCAAUAGUGAGCUGUUCCAGAAAUAGAUGGAGAAAAUUGUACGUGGGGGAAGCUGUUUUUUUUCUGAGGUAUAGCACAUCUGUGUCCCUCCUUGGUAUCAGCUGGUACUUGGAGAUACCUUGCGGCAUUAGCCAUCAGAUUUUUCCUGCUGGAAGCUUUGAGAAGCUUCUGAAAUUAAAAAAAUAAGCUUAUUGUAUGUACGUUACAGAUUAAUUAGAUGUUUGAUCAGUGGGUAAUGCCAGUCUUUAUUCAAGGGCUGCUGGCUUGUUCCAGAGGAAUGUUCCCCAGUUCGCUUACUUGGUAGACCUUUUCAUUACAGCUAAACAAAGGACAGGAAGGAAAGCGAGGUAUGUGAAGUACUGUCAUCAGGGUAGGAAAUUUUAACAGUAAUGGUUUGUCAUGUCGUUAAUUUCCUUCCCCAAAUGACCUAAACACUUCUUCUCACCUGUUUAUGUCAAGUCAGCGCGGACAUUCUGGCCAAACUGAAUUCCAGCUGCGGAGGCUUCAGUUGUUUCUUUCACAUAGCUGAUUUUAAGAUAACAAAAUUGCUCAGAAAAAAAAAAUACGAAUGGAAAAAUUCAGGCAGCAGGCCAAGGGUGAAAGCUGGACCUUUUAUAAAGACCUAGUAAAACUUUAGUAAGAAACUUAAAGUUUGGUGUAUUGAUUUUUUUUUCUCUGUAAGUUCAAGAACUGUGUUUCAUUGCAGGCUGAACUCUCAUCUCUGUUCCUCAUGACCAGCUGAGCAAGGGAGAUGGGAUUUGAUGCUAUCCAAGGUGUAAUUCCACAGUUCAUGUCUCUUGCUAGUGCCAGCUUAAUAAGUUUCUGCCUACCCCCAGCCAUUCAUUUCCAGCUCAGCAGCAGUGCAGUGCCUUCCCUUUUCUGACCAUGUGCAAACGCAGGUCCCUGAAAAUACCUCAGCAAGGAAAAGAAACACUUCUUCUCUUUGAAUUAGAAUUAUUUGAGUGAUCUUGCUUACAGCAUGGCCCACCAAGGGUUGUAUCCGUACAACUAAAGGUGACGUGCAUCUGCAGGAACUGCAGCAUCAGAAGCACAGCAAGCGUUGGAGGGUGUCCAAAUGUUAAGUGGUCUUGUUGUCAGUGAAAAUCUGCUCUGGGACUGUAUCCUGGUUAAAGGGGUUUCACUAGUCACGGUAAUAUUUAUUGGUCUGCUUUUCAUUUUAUUCUACUUUAUUUAUUUUUUUAAAUUAGCAUCUUCUUGUUUGGACACUUUUUUUUAUUUAUUUUUUGAGGAGGUAAAGCAUCCCUGAGAAGUAAAUCAGCUUUGUGGACAGCCAUGAAUGUCAAUAAAGUCUUGGCAAACACAGUAGGUAUUUAUUCAGCCUUGCAAAUUAAAAACAUUUUUCCUGCUUGUUUUGUGAAGGGAACAAAAAAAGACAAAUUACAUAGCGGAUGAGCUCUCUUGAUAGUUGGAAUUCAUUAGUCUGGUGGUGAAAACGCUGGGGGAUUGAUGGUGCAGAAAUAUAAAAGAUGAAACAGCUUUUCCCCAAUAGCAGUGGUUUAAGUUCAAGUUGAAAAUGAAUGGGAAAAAAAAGACUUUAAACACAUCUGUAACUGACUUCACAGUCCCAAUUACUAUCUUGGUAGGCAGUUCUUCCUCACUGCUGUUAGUAUUAAUUGUUUUUUCAGCUGGAGGACAAUUCCUCAAUGGUUGCUCGGCCUUCAUGCCAUAGGGUAUCUGCAGCAGCUCGUAAAUGAGAUAUAUGGCCAGGCGUUAAGUAGGAAGUUCACACACUCCUUUCCCAUGCUAUAGCCGUUCUGUGAACAGAGGCCUUCUGCAGAGUUGUCAAUCUGUCAUCUUCCCUUGGCUUCACAUUUUAUUUAAAAAAAAAAAAGGAAUUUGAAAAGUUACAGUAAGUUGAACAGUUUGUCAGACAUAACGCACUCGCAGGCUAUUGUCUGCAAAUUACAGGCUGGCUCGGUCUUUCAGCCUGUCAUGGAUGGAUCAUAAAGCUGUCAUAAGCAAAGCUCUAACAAAAUCCAUUUGCACGGCUCCUGUUAUGGCAGAGCAUGGCGAGGAAGCAAUAGGACUCAUUUUUGAGGAAUUUCCUGUCCAGGAGCUUUUUAGUCCAGUUGAAAGUCUUUGCAGGUCACUCCCAGUAGAUGUUUUCCCUGAUUAUCCCUGGAUUCAUGUGAUAAAAUACACAAAAUUGUCACUUCCGUUCAGAAAGGGGUCACAGUUCACAUGCUAUUCUGAGUGCGUAACCACUGGAUUUAAUCAGUAGGAGGGAGAGGGUUACCUGAUACGCCUUGGACUGCAGAUAAACCACGUGUAAAUCACCAGAAUUAUGGUGAUUAUCACCCAAAUCAAUGGCAAAAUAAAAAGCAGUAUAAACUCCAGUCUUGCAGUGGUUUAAUCUCAGACAAAGUUUAGUUGCUGUAAGUAAUCCUGCUGAUGUCAAAUAAACCCUGCAAAUGCUGAACUAUUUAGGGUCAGGGCUUAAACUCUGGGCAUUUCAUUCCCAUAAUUUCUUCUGAAACGUUACAGAGCAAUGUUUGUAACUACAGAAGCAAUGUAAUAGGACGCUCUUCCAUACAUAACUUUAUGUAUUCUGGGUUUGCUCUCCAUAUUUCCACAGUUUUUGCUCUUCUGUUGAGUAGGUGCCUAAGUGUGAAGGUGUUACCUUCUCUGCUCCUCGUCUUCCUCUCCAGAUAAACAAGGAAAUUACUCUUAGCAAAUCUAGGAAGGACAGAAAAAUCCAAGAUCUGAAGAUGUUCUGAAACUUACAGGGCCCAGAAGUUAAAGGACCUAAUUAGGACUCCCGGAGCAGUGCAUCAGUUCUCUCUCUGCAGUUCAUCUGUUUCACCCAUUUAGAAGUGACAGUUUACAGCCCUAAUGCGAGAGUGUUUCUCAUUAUCUGUGCUCUGGAAAUGCACAGCGUCAUUACAAGUUUUGAAAGAUGCUCUCUUCAAAAGUACAAAUGCAUUACACGGGAGAGUUUGCUCCCUGGGUAGUCAUACUGAACUGCUGUGGUCUGCACCCGUUCUAGGGGUAGCACUAAAGACAGAGCCCCAAAAUCGGUACCUCUGCGUCAAGUCCCAUGCACAUCACGGAUGUCACGAUGCAGACAUGCACCCUGUAACACAAUUUAGCCUUGCCUUUGUCCAGGGAAGAUAAUGGUUGUGAAGCUUUAUUGCUUUCCUUGUCUCACAGAUGGAUGUCAGGUUUGUUGGACUUUCUCCUGAAGAUUUAAGGGGGGGAUGGGGGGGAGCGUGUUAGCUGUGCUGCUGACAGAUACCCUCAGGGGAACUGUCCACGCUCAUUGGAGAUUUUCCAGCCAUCUCUAUCUCCAGCCAUCUACUAGUUCAGUUUCUAGGCUAAGAUAAGUUGUUCAGGUUGUCAUCGUGGUAAAGGAAGAGAGAUACACACCUCUGGAGGUGAUUAACCUGUAGGAACAGAUGUAAUUUUGUUUUUUGACAUGAUUUCCUGCCCCCGGAAAGAAGGAUUUUGAGACUACGUGGCUGUCCUCAGGAGACCGCAGAUGGGUUCGGCUUGGGUGAAGGCUGUAAUCAGCUUGAACAGAGCUGCCAGCAGCAGGCAGAGUACAUGCAGGUAGGACACUGCAGAAGGAAACAACAAGUGCAAUGCUUCACUUCUUGAAUUACGCUACAGCAGGGCAAAGUUUGAGGCUCUUUAUGCCUUGGAAGCGGUUCAAUCCUGUCCACACUAUAAAACUGCUGUAUUUAAACACUGUUAGAGCAGCAUCGCUUCUUGCACCGCAAGAACAGUGUUAUUCACAGCCCCACGGGGCACAGUGCUUCCCUUCUGACAUCAGAAAACACAGUGCUGCUGUGCCAGUGCUGCUGCUCUGGGCGAUCUGUUCCUCUGCGAUGUACCUAUGGAGCGCUUCGCAGAGUGCGUCACCGGGAGCCUGGCUGAGCCUUGCAGCCUGUGCGGGCGCUCAGCAUUGUUCGACACGAUUCUGCGGAUGCCGUUCGGGCGUGUUUGUUCUGCCAGCUGAGAUGAGACGCCGAAGACAGGUUACAAAAAAUACAUCUGUUUGAAAAGGAGUUGUGGAGAACACACUUGAGUUGUGGAGUUCCAGGAAAGAGCCUUGUGGCUGACUUCCUAGAAGUAGUGCUGCAACCAGGUGGUAAGUGCCAGUGCUGCGUAGUCCGUAAUUACACAGUCCUUGCGUUGGGUUUGGGCACUUGCCUUCUCUCCAUGUUGCAAAUACCACCUCGGUGAGAGCUGGCAGACAGGUGGGCUUCUUUUCAGGCCAUCCUUUGGAACAAAUCUUCAACGUGCAGGGAUUAAUACGUAACUUCUGUCACACUGUUGCUGCUGCUGCUGUUAAAAAUAGUGUGCUUUAGCAUCUAGCAGGAGACGUUUCGCACGUUGUUUUGCUGUCACUAGAGGGAGUUUGCAGCAGUGCUUCUCUUACCAACGUGGUGAUCUCGGUGCUGUGGGCAGACCUCAGCAGACGCCGUGUGUGAAUAGGAGACAGCAGGAAUGAAAGUAGGACAAAGGUCCUGCCUCCCUGCUUAAACCCUUGUACGCAAUGUCCGAGCUUGACUAACCAAAUUCUUCAGGGUGACAGUGCUGGAAGCAAUUCUCUCUGUUGGUAGCGCUGUAAUAGAAAACAACUGAGCAGUCGGUGACUCAAGGCAGAGCCAAGGGUAAGAGUAAGAAAACAACAUCAAUUAUUAAGUAGGAAAAACAAAGAUGGAAAAAACCAACCUGGAUAGGUACUCCUCUGUGGCAUUUCCGAUUUGUUGUUACAGGAACAUCAUCUCAGCUAGAAACAAGCUCCCUCAGGAAGCUGGUUUCAUAUGGUGGUUUAGAUUUAACUAUUUAUUGUCUAGCACCAUUUGAAAUCAGUGUUCUUGGAGGAAGAAUGCCUGCGUUCGUCCGUGAAACGGCUCCUUGGAAACUUUGGUUGAAAAGAAAAAAUGUUGAGGUCGUUGUGUGCUUCUGCCAUUAGACUUAGCUCCACCACCAACCAAAUGACCUCAGGAGGCUGGGGCCUCUGAGUUUAUGGCCCGUGGGAGAGCAGCACGAGGUGUGAUUUCAGGGGCAGAAAUUCUGGUGUAAUACUGCUGGGCAGCAGCAUGUUUACAGCAUUUGUAGGUGGUGAACCAGAACUCGGAAACAGAGAAGGGCUUACGAGGCAUAAACACUGCAAAAAAAUGUAAUGCAGAACUGCAACACGGCAUCGAAGACCCUGAUGUUAAUGCACCCACGCUUAAAUCACAUCUAUACAGUAUGGCGAGGAAUGAGGAAGGGAACUUCGUGCUCUGCUUUCAGGCUGAAGCAGGUACAGCUUUGGUUUUAGUUCUUUACUGCCCUUGUAAGUACCUGUGCAUAGGGUGCCUCUGUCAUCCAGAGCACGACAGAAUUUAAAGCAGACCAUGGAGGCGCUGGGAGUGCUGGGUGCUGGUCCCAUCCACGUGCUGCCUGGUUGCUUUUUCAUCGUGGCGUGCUUGGCAGAUUCCAGUGUGCUUAUUUAUUGUGUCUCUUGCAGCAUUUGGGUUGCAGGUUGACAGCCUAGAAUGCCAGGUGUGGUCACUGGAAAUGGCCAACACCAGCAUCUGUGACAACGGGACCACGCAGGGCAGGCCACAUUGGCUGAGGCUACCCAAAAUCAAAGCAUUUGUGGUGUUUUAAUAUUGGCUAUACAAUUUAAAAAGAAGUACAUAGUUAAUGAUUUUGAAAGUUUCCACCUUCUAUAUCUUUAUGUUAUAAUAAUACAACAUUUUUUGGUGAAUAAUACCACAGAGGUAAUAAAUUAAUAUUAAUCAAGCAUUUGGGAAUCCUCCAAUGUAAAAUACUGUCCAGUACUUAACUCUUCAUCCUUGCAGAUCUCAGUAACCCCUUUGGAGGAUGACUGAUUUCUUUUGGUGUUCAGAGUCAAUAAUAUUUUCUAGCACCAUUUGAAAUCGGUUAUAGUGAUUGGGGAAUUGCUCCUUGUGAAUUUUACACAAGUCUCCAGAGAAUCUUUAAUGGUAUUACAUAGGACUGAAAAAAAAAAAAAAAGGAAAGUCUGGUAUUUCAGUGAACGGAACGACUGAAUGCAGAAGUAUUACACAUUUAAGCUCCAGUGUUGUUAGGUGCCUUUAUAUAGCUCGAGGUUCUUGCUAGGAGAAAAUGCAGUCUGUAGCUGUAGACGGAAUAUGUAAAAUAAGCAUCAUGAGGUUUUGAUGUAGGUCAUCAGUGUAAAGAUGGUUUGGCAAGCCAUACAGUACUGCGAGGGAAGAUAAAGGGAGAUUGUUUUCCCAAUGGAAAUUACCAGUAUGGACUCAAGAUCAAGAAAAAAAAAAAAUCAGAAAACACUGUUGGUUUAAUGAUCUAGCCAGGAGGUAUGACAAUACAAAAAAGCAGCAGGAACCCUUCCAAUCUCCAAUUACUGCACUCCGGACGUGCUGAAAGACGGAUCUUGGGAAGGAUUUCAUUGCUAACCUAAGAGCUUUUUGCCUUCUCUCCUCUUACACUGUUAACAGCAUAAGCCACAAAACUGAGUCAUCUUCCCAAGGACCUUGUAGUACCUAAGAAGUUUUCCCGAGAACUGCACUCUUUAGGGAAGCACAACUGGCCAGAGAUGCAGAGUCCAAGUCUGGGUCGUGUCCCCAGUUGCAGCAGGAUCUCAUUAGCCGUGAAGAUAAUUUCUGAAAUGCAUUCCUCAGCCAGAUUAUCAUCCUGCAUGUAGCUUUUGCGGAGGUAGUGACACAGACAGCAAUACAUGGCUCUAGCAGGGGAGCCUUUCCUAAAUAAACCGGUAAGAGCAGGAAUCUGCUGCCUUUCCCUGCUCUCUGGUAUGCAGAAACUACAAAGUUGUUGCUACAGACAGCAAACAACUGCAGCAGCUUUUGGGUGUUCGGAGGCAUUCCUGAGCUGGUUGGGGGCAGCAGAUUCACCCUUCUCCUUCCCCUGCUCUGUCUUUCCAUCAGCAUAUCCUCCAUUUCAUCAGCAGCACAUACUCUGGUUUUUCACCAGUAUAUUCUCCCUUUUAUCCUCAGCAUAUCCUCCCUUUUAUUUCUGUUUGUUUAACUAAGAAGGGAUCAAGUCAUCACGAUCCAAACGAGACUCGAGUGUGAAAAGCACACGGCCUCUGUCUCUCACUUGCAUCCUUCUGUGAAAUCCACCCGCGUGGUUUGUCUUGUUUAAACCCUCAGAAGUGGGUAGGACUGUGUUCUGUUAGUCCUUAAGUUACCAUAGAGUCGUGAAAAUGCUGAAAACGUAGAACAUCGAGUAGUGUGUUUGUUGCACUGUGAUGCCAAGAGCUGACACCUGCCCACGGACGUAUUUGGGGGAGUUUGACAGAUGUUCUUAGAGAGGUUACAAGCUGUACAGAAUGAAGCAUUGCACUCCUGAAGUGUGCUUUGCCAGUAAUCCAUGUGUUUUACGUCUGUUUGCUGUUGAAGUAGCUCCCAUCCAGACCUUUUUUUGAAUGAUUUCUUGGGCAAAGUCCUUCAGCGUAUUUGGAGUUCAGUGGUUUCCCAAGGUAAGGUCUGAGUAUCGAGAGGUUUUUAUACUUAAAGGAAACUUCAGCACAAAAACUAAUCUCAUGGCAAAAAUCAAUUACAAAUUAAUAAAAAACGAUCACACCGAAAGCACCCAAAGGAGAUUAUUAAAGUUUAAUUAUUUCUAUUGAAAGGUAAGAGGUUUUUAAGCUGUAGUAAUUUUCUCUGUUUGCACCAUAUAGUGAGAAAAACCGGAGCUGCUAAGUACUUGGGUCUCCUAAAGGCUUUUCUGACGUGAGUAACAUUGCUGGUGUGCCUGUGUCCUACAGCUUCUCAGAUCUCUACUGCAGCAGCAGGGGAAAAAAAGAAUGAAAGAAGGUGGGAAGGAAGAAAAAUGAUGCAUGAAAACAAAAUCCACUGUAAAAUACAUGCAUGAGGAAGGGAGGAGAAUUGUAUAAUGGGUUUCUUUUUCUUUUCCUUUUUUUUUUUUAUUGGAUCCUAUUUACUCUCAGCACUUGGGUCUUUUUAAAAGUGAAGCUACCAGAAGACAGUCUUGUCAGGCAGCCAGAUUUAGGUGCAAAGCAGUGCUUAUGCAGAUUGCAUCCAAAGUGCUCCUCGGGUACCACGGCGUAUAACUUCAGCUGCUGGCGAGUCUGCUCAUCCUGCUGCCUGACACCCUGCAGCAGGUGUAAAGUGCAAGGAGGUUGCUUUGUGGUCUGCAGAGUGUCUCUAGUCGCUGACUGGUCUUUUGGAACGACGUUAAAAUGAAGUAAGAGCUCGUACUAAGCCCAGACAGCGCGGGGAGUCAGCCACUGCUGUUGCCCCAGCGGUCGGGGAUUACCAUAAAGGAUGCUUGAGGAUGGAGGAAGAUGGAUAGUGGGAGUAUUUUAUCAAAAAUAUUUUAGGAGUGCCGUUUGAUGUACUAUUGUUGUAUUACUGAGGCAUUAAAACAUGUUACUACACGAUCAUCAAUUUAAUGUCAGAUUAAUUUAUCUGAAACUUCGGUGAUCCUCCAUCGUUACCUUCAGACACCUGGCUUUUGCAUAGGGCGGCUCUGCAAACUCCAUGACGUGUCGGGAAUUUAAGGGAAAAAUGCCUUGAUCCCAUUGGAUAAGAGCCUGAGAUGAUGCUGGAGAAGUGUUCUGUGCUCAUGGCAGAUAAAUUGCAGCUCAGGACCACAAUUUGCAGCAGCCUCGUCCUUACGUUAAUGAAACGUGCAGGCAUAAGAUGCUUAUGAAAGGGCGGAAUAGAAAAUAAGACAACACAGUGUUAUUCUGAUAGAUUGCUUCUGAGUCUUUCAAAGCAUUUUGAGACUUGAUAGCCAAAAAUAACCUGCACGAGGGAUCUGUCGUGUCCUUAGCAUGGUGCAUUUCCAGUGCAGCAAAGGGCUGCAGGGGUACAAGUGGAAUGGAUGCGGGUAGCAUGGGUUUUGCUGCAGGCUGAGUCCAGCUGGGACGUCUGCUAAGUAUGGAACGAGGCAUAGGCUGGCAGAGCUUUCUGGUGCUGUAAAACACAGGAUGAGAGCUCCCAAUUCAUUGCAUAUGCCAGGAGAGCAAAUUGGAAUCUGGGUAAUGCUAAUAAAAGCAGAGUUACAAUUUAUUGAAUUGUGUCCAGAGAGGAGAGUGAAGCAGCCUUUGGCUUCUGAUGUGACUCCUACGUACGUGAGAGCUCUUUGCAUGUCGUUCGGGAUGGUUGUGCUUUCUGCAGAGACCUGUCCUGCUGCCGGACACGGUUCAUCAAGGUGAUAGCUUCUGCUCUCCAGUGGUGCCCAUUGGAUGCUGAAGACACAUCACCCCUUGAGAAGGUUCAGAGUUACGGGGUUUGAGGCAUACACCCCUGCUGUAUGCUCCCUUCUUGGCCAUUGAGCAGGCAAGAGGACAUCUGGAUGUCAUCAGGCAAUACACUGGUUUAGAUUUUUGCUCAGAAGUUGUUCCCAUUCAGCUCCUUCAAAUUAGAGACCUCUUUCCAUGUGUCCCUCACCCUUUGCCCUUUCCCUCUUGUGUUCCUUCGGUGGUGGAGCCUGGUGGCUGCUUCCUCUGCUGCCUGGAGUGCUGGGCUUUGAGUCCUUGUGCCCGGUUUCUGUGCGGCCAUCCCAGCACUGUGGUCCUCUCUGCUCAGGGUUUUCUUCCCGAAGAACCCAACUCGGCAUCGGGGGUCUUGGCUUCCCUCCUGGGGGUUCGUAAAGCUGCUUCCUUGCGCACAGGAGGAGAGUUUUUAAUGGUCGCCCUGCACAAAAAGGAGAGGCAAGCUGUGGAAUUACAAGGAUUUGCCUUAAAGUUCAGCAUUCAGGGCUUGCAGUGCGUGCUUGAUUGUUGCAGAGGCCAGAUUUGCUCAGGCCCAAAUGGGCAAAGCAAUUAAUAUUUGGGUCCUGCACGUCCCCAUCCGGGUGCCAGUCUCUUGGAGCGGCUCUGCAGCAGCCUGGUGGGCACAGCGGGUUAGCUCAUCACCUCCAAGGGAUUCCAGAGCCCUUUUCCCUGCUACAUUUUAACAUUAUUUAAUCUUCAAUCUUGUCCAUCUUUACUGUGGAACAAACGAAGGGGAAUGGGGGGGUCUCCCAAAUCGUUUGCUGGUAUCAGAAAUACCUUGGGCUGAGCGGAUUGCCUGCCCAAAGGAGCAGGCUCCAGGCAGAUCAGAGCCUGCCCAGAGCACAUCUGGGGAGACGGAAAUCUCUCAGGAAAUCCAUGAAGGUGAUCACGGGCUGCUGGGCUUUCAGAUAGGCAGUUGUGUGAAGGCUCCACUGCAUUUCCAAGGUGAGAACCAAAGUCGGAGCUGAAGCGUUCGAUCCAGGAAAGGGGAGAAAUUUCCUUGUUUCGCUGCAAGGAAAUGCGCAGAUUUCGGAACUCAGCUCGGAGAAACUUCGAAGCGAAACGAUGGUGUAAAAGAAAAAAAAAAACUUCAUAUUUAAGAUUUGCCUGGAAAGCCUGAGACACUCAUGAAUAAUUGAUAGCGCAGCCUUCCCACGGCCGCUCGGCAGCACCGCAGCACGACCACGUUCGUCACCAUAUUGAGAUGUUUUCUGGCAACCCUGGAAUUUCUGUGAUGUUUUUGUUCGUUGUGGAGCUGUUGCUUAUCUUUUAAUUUCCCAAAUGAGGAGGCAGAUCUCCAAAAAGAAGAAGAAGAGUUGAAAAGCGAGGUGCGUGUGUGCUGUGUUGUGAGUGAAGCCAGCAGGUCGGUCGUAAGGAGCAGCGUGGGCAACCUGAGGGGUUUGGAGGCUCUCCUGUGUUGUGCCCUGAUGUCAAUUUUAAUACUCCUGAGUUUAACAAGGAUUUUAAAGUCUGAAUUAAAUCCUCUUCUCAGCGUGCUCUGAGCACGUGGGACCACUCAGCUUCAUUUUUGGUAGCAGCAGCUGAUACGAUCCUAUUUCACAUGGCGUAGGGAAGGCUUAAAUCCAAGCAAAGGUCUUUUAACGUGGGAGCAACCUUAAAAACAGCCAGGUUCCAUUUGGUACGGGACCUGCAAAGCUGUUCCCUAAGCCAAGUUCACAGAGCCACAGACUGGCUGAGGUGGGAAGGGACCUCUGGGUCCCUCUGCUCCCACCCUGCUCCAUCAGGGCCACCUCGAGCUGGUGCCCAGGCCACAUCCAAGUGGGUUUGAAGCUCUCCGAGGACACCACAGCCUCCGGGUACCCAUGCCAGAUCUCCGGCACCCACCCAGCCCAGAAGUGCUUCUGGUGCUCAGAGGGCACCUCCUUUUCCUUUGGGGUACCCAUCCCUGGAAGGUGCCAGGCCAAGGGCGCGGACGGGGGACCCGUGCCCAUGGUAAGGGUAUCCUUGGCUCCUCUCCCUCUCCCCAAGAAGCCUCCCAGCUGUGCGAUGCCUCCUCUGGCGCGGGGAGCAGCAGGAGCCGCGUGGUUCGCCUCGACGGGAGAGGCCGUGGGUGGAGAGGAGCUGGCGGGGAUCCCAGGAGCCGUCGGGAAGAGGCUGCGAGCGGGGGAGAGCGAGCUCGCCGCCCACUCGGGAUGAAAUCACGCCGGUAAAGGCUGCCGGGACGAAGAAGGUGUCAAGUCUAAAUAAAAAAAAAAAAAAGAGGAAGAGUGCUGGACCAGCAAGGAGGGCAGUUCCUGUGUUGGUGGGCUCAAGGAGGAUCUGGUUUUCGUAGGAGUGCACGGUGCUGGUAACGGAUACGGAGCCGGCAGCGAGGGAAGAAUUUGUCACAGGAAGGUUGGCUUUAGCGCAGGAGGAAAAUAGAAGUUGGAUAUGUGACCCGAUUGCUGGGGAUUUAUUAAUAACGUGUCUGAUGGGGGGAUUGCUGCCACCCAAGCUGCUGCCUUCCCAGUUUGACCUGUGACCGAACUGGGAGCACGGGGAAGUAGAAAAGCUCUCCUGGAGCUGGCGUGCUUAAAGCACUGUGGUGAUGGGCUGCAGAGAGGUUGCCACUCCCCUACCCAAAAAUUGUGCUGGUGCCAUACCCAAAAAUAAUGCUGGUGUCGGCUGGACGCGCUCACUGUCUCUUCCAGAGUGGUGUCCGUAUCGUACAACCAACAAGGGACAGCACCGUGGCUUUUGUUCUGCUCCAAAAUUAAAUACCAGCCAGCAUGAAGUCUUUUAGGACUUCUUUUUUCCCCCAUACUGAUACCUAAUUUACAGUAAACCAGACCAAUUAUGAGAACAGCUAUUCAACCCCAAGGAGAAGACCUCCCUCCUUGUUUUCCACCUGGAUGUCUUCCCAAGCCUCCUUACUGCAGUUCAAGCAGCAUUUUGGGGAGCGAGCAUGGUGCUGCGGCACAGCUGGGGAGCCGGGGGCGGUUUGGGGGCCCUUUGGCUCUUGCAGGCGCAGCCGAGGACAUCGCCGUUAGGUCUGGCUGUGGGGAACGGGCUCCUCAGCACUGCUCCGUCUGCUCCAGCAAAGCAAAAAACAACGCGCAAAACUCCUUCCCCACCGCCAGCGCCAGUGGGUGCAAAAUCGUAAUCAUUGCGGGAGAGAUGCUGCCAAAAAAAAAAAAAAAAAGAAAGAAAGAAAAAGCAUUUCCCUAGCUUGUUUUCUUUUCCCAGAAAACCAGAUGGAUGAAUCAUUAUAACAGCAGCUAUGACAGGGGACCAGACAACAGACUGAGCCCGAAGCCCAGCCCGGUCGAGCCAAGAUGAAAAACUGCCCAAGGAUUUACCAGUCCUCCCUCCCACGUGUGCUUAAAGGAGCGAGGCUCCACAAACAGGGCAUCCUGCUCCCGGCUGCCUUUCAGCAUCCCUCCUGGCGUACCAGCAAGCCUGGCUAUCAGGUGGCACGAUCUGGGGCUAGUAGAGCAGUCCCGUGCCUAAAUCCCGUUGAACAUUGCGAGCAAUGAGGUUGAAAAACAUGGAAAUGGAGUAGAUGCCCACCUUGGGGCUGCCCACGGAGCGAUUGCUCCGAUGACGGCCUCGUUGGAGGCUCUGCUGUUAUUUCUGCUUCCCAAGGAAGCGGAGCGCAGAGAAAAUAAGGUCCAAGAAUCUCUUAAUUUGGGGUGCUGGGUUCGAGGCGGUCGGUGCAGGAUGUUGAGGACUCGGUGUUCAACGCACGGAUUCCUCUCGUGCCAUUCUGUUUCCUUCCAACCGCCUGCUUCGUUUAUCGCCCUCUUCCAGCUUCUGCCUGUCGGGCGCUCUCGUGAUCCUCAAAUCCAACUGCUGCUCUUAGGUUUCGAGUGUUUUGAUCGCUGGCUGCAAAGCUCGAGCCGAGCCGCGCUCCCUUCCUCCCCGAGGUAAACAAGGAGUCAGGGGAGGUCGCUGCGGGUCCCGCAGGAAAUAACAGGGGCGAGGAGAUCUCUUCACCUCCCCUGCCCUCUGCAACGCACAAGGACCCCGCCGCAGGGUGAGGGCAGCCCCAAAAAAAUGGCCUCUCGGCCCCAAAAAGCUGCUUUUGGUCUCCGUGGUGGAUUUGGCACCCGGGGCUCUGCGGCAGAGGCAGCUGGGGAGGAUCGUGGACGAGGAGCAGAGAGGAUGGGGAGGCAGAGGGAUGAGCAGUGCUGCCGGCCGUACCCACGGCGUAUUUAUCGAGGUGGGAAUAGCUCGUACCUGGGCGAGGGGGCGCCUCGAAUCCAGCCUCCUGCUGGCAGCAGGACCCCAGCCAGGCUGCGCCACCCUGCCAGAGCCCCCAGGGCUGCGGGGUCCACCUGGGGUCUGCCCCAGGGCACCAUCACCUUCCCUGCAUUUUCCCUGGGGUUUCACGAGAGCAGAGCGGAGGGGGACAAUCCCCUCUCUGCCCUGCUGCCCACGCUGUGGUGGUGCAGCCCAGGACACGGCUGUUUUUGGGGCUGCAGGUGCACAUUCACCGUGACCCCAGCCUCAGGUGGCUCUGCCCGAGGAAGGACGCAUGGCGGCAGCUCAGAGCUCACACCUUGGCUCUGAGGAUGCCCAGCAGGAGGUGGACACGUCACCCACAUUGUUUUUCCUCUUAGAAACCAUCCUCCAGCCCAGUUUGUCCACGUGCAGUUUUAUGGGGUACCAGCGAUCCUCCGGCCCUGCCUCAAACCGCUGGUGCUUCGUGGCCCUGCAGCACCAGACCCCAGUUAGCUGCCCACCAGUGUCCCGGAGGUGGCAUCACACCUAUCAUAAACCCCAGGUACCACCAGGAGCUUUCUUUUUGUCAGUGUUUGGUGCAACCUUAAAAGCUGUGAGAUACGCAGAGCAUAAUGAAAACUGAGCAUACAGCUGUAAAUUGGGGGGAAAAAAAAAAAAAAAACAACUUGACAGCUGUCACUGCCAGUACGGGGGAAGGAGAGGCGAUGGGGAGGUUGGUGCUGUGCCUUCACCCCACCCCGUCAGGUCUUCGGAGGCUUUUUGUGGGCCAGGAGGGCCCGGGGGAAGGGGCCAAGGCCGAGCUGCCUCUUGGUUUGGCACCGAGGGGAAAAGAAAAGUUAAUGCUGCAGCCUAGUGGAGAAAAGCCGGCCGUGCGCAUUUCCAGCAGGGCUGAUUCAGGCGGGGUGGCAGGGGAUGUAAAAGACUGGUGGAAAGAAACCAAAGCACACUGAGCUAUGGCACUGGAAGCCUGCUUUUAUGGGAUCCCGAGAGCGAAUUCUGUAACAUAUUCAGGUCUCCAAAAGGUAUUUUGCUGUGCCCUGAGUGAUAACCCAGUGAAAAGGCUGCAGACAUCACCGUGACCCAUAUUAAAGCCAGCACAGCCCAAAUCCCUCUGCAAACAGUGCUAAGUUUUUGGCAAUGAUGUCCCCACGGGGGCAGCUCUGUGCUCUCAGAAGGAAACAAAAUACCAUCAGAGCACGUUUACAGGGUGAAAUGGUGGAAAAAAAAAUGUUCCUGCAAUGUGUGAUAUGGAUGCCUGGUGCGUGCAGCUGUGUAACCCUGUGUUUUGCAGGGCUGCAGCAUGGACAUGGGGCCACAGCCUGGGAGAAGCCCCAAGGCUGGAGAACCCAGAGCUGGCAAGUGGAAAGUCCCCGGAGCACGUGGAGUUUGGGCCAGUGAUCAUGCAAACGGGCAAGGCAGGCACCACCCGAGAGCUAAGGGCUAGUGCGAGCCUUGGCUGGGCAAGUGCCAUCUGGGGCAGGGAGAGAUGCUGUGCCCAGACCUGGGGCACAGCAAAAAUCGGCUGGAAAAUUGGAAGGAUUCCAAGAAGAGCCCCAAGAGUGAGGCAGGGCUGCAGAAGCAUCCCUCAGAGGGGUAAACCCAGGCUCAGUGCAUUAACCAAGCCAGGAGAGUCAUUCUCUCACCACCACCACCGAGUCCCGUGUCUAGGUCCCUCUGGGGACCCCAAUCCUGGCUUUGGAGCUUUGUGGUGGGUUUCCCGGAGAGCACCCAUGGGUGAAACCCAUCCGCUGAGACAUAGGGAGGACCCUGCAUCCGAUGCAGAUCCGGGGAGUGUGGGCUUGCAGGGGGUUUAUGGUUUCAGGAGCUCCCUUGCUGGGGGCAUGGCCUUCAGCACGGUGAGCAUCGCCCCCACGCCAACACACCCACAGACCUGAGACGCCCUUGGGAUUAAAUAGCAGCCGAGCUGGGGUUUUUCAGGCCCACGGUUUGGCUGUAGGAGCUGAGUUGGCGUCGAGCUGCCAAAAUCCCCUCUGUAGCAUCAUUGAUUUCACCCCCUCACAGGCUCCUCUGGAUGUACCAGGGUCCGUUCCCAAGCAGGGUGGCCCAAGGCACCCAGGAGACCUUGUGCCUGCGGUGACAGAUCUGGUUUUCAUCCCUGAUUUUAUCCCUCCCAAACCCAAGACAAACACCGGGGGAGAAUAAAAACGGGGAAGGCUACUGGUGUGUAAAUAGGUGCAGAUGGGCUCAUUAAAAACAGGCAGCGUUGCACGGAGAAGGUAGGGGAGGAGGACGGAGGAGUGUGGUCAGGAGGAGCAUCGGGAGGAGAAUCAGGAGGAGAGAGACGGCGCUGGGGUCGAGGAGGAACAUGCAGCUGCGAGGAGCCCGACAGCUGGAAGCCAAAAAUAAACCUCGACGGUGAAUCAAUUUGCUCCGAGGGACGGGUAAAUCGGGGGAAAGCAAUGACAGAGGGGAGAGGACAGAGCAUCCGAUGGGCUGAACGAGCAGGAAAACCCACAGAGCAAUGAAUCACUCCCCCCCCCCCCCCCCCCCGAAAAGCCCCUCUUCCCGAAACAAGGCGGGGGUGAGGCAGAAAACAGCAGAGACAGAAA